This 232-nucleotide long non-coding RNA is filed under the name Elaeis guineensis (African oil palm). Its description in RNAcentral is "long non-coding RNA (EGUI_LNC065972)". The record is from RNAcentral. Lineage: Eukaryota; Viridiplantae; Streptophyta; Magnoliopsida; Arecales; Arecaceae.
GUCCUGAUGAAGUUCUGACCAUCAGAUUAUGCAAAAUCCUCUAUUAUAAACUGGUAAUGGAUGCUGACCGUCGGAUUUGGAUCGGGAUGAAUGUCAGCUAUUGGAUCAUGCCCAGAAUCUUUCUCCCACUGUAAGCCACACCUAUGGACCACGCCCUAGCUCUGUAGACCGAGCGACCGGUCCACUGUGCACCGGAGGUAAUAUUUUUUAUUUUUAAGAUAUUUUAGCUCAA